Molecule: ribosomal RNA, 427 nt
Filed under: uncultured prokaryote
Description: bacterial SSU rRNA
Rfam family: Bacterial small subunit ribosomal RNA
Source: RNAcentral
UGGGGAAUCUUCCGCAAUGGACGAAAGUCUGACGGAGCAACGCCGCGUGAGUGAUGAAGGCCUUCGGGUUGUAAAGCUCUGUUAAUCGGGACGAAAGAGCGCUGUGCGAAUAGUGCAGCGAAGUGACGGUACCGGAAUAGAAAGCCACGGCUAACUACGUGCCAGCAGCCGCGGUAAUACGUAGGUGGCAAGCGUUGUCCGAAAUUAUUGGGCGUAAAGCGCGCGCAGGCGGAUCUGUAAGUCUGUCUUAAAAGUUCGGGGCUCAACCCCGUGAGGGGAUAGAAACUGCAGAUCUUGAGUAUCGGAGAGGAAAGUGGAAUUCCUAGUGUAGCGGUGAAAUGCGUAGAGAUUAGGAAGAACACCAGUGGCGAAGGCGACUUUCUGGACGAACACUGACGCUGAGGCGCGAAAGCCAGGGGAGCGAACG